Non-coding RNA from Phascolarctos cinereus (koala), 70 nucleotides. Lineage: Eukaryota; Metazoa; Chordata; Mammalia; Diprotodontia; Phascolarctidae. The record is from Ensembl.
AAGAUAUUAGUAAUAACAAUUACAUAACCUUGCCAUGGUUAAAUUAUAAGUUUUAAUCUUAUAUAUCUUA